UACGUAGGCAGCGAGCGUUGUUCGGAAUUACUGGGCGUAAAGAGUGUGUAGGCGGUGCUAUAAGUUCGGUGUGAAAUCUCCCGGCUCAACUGGGAGGGGUCGCCGAAGACUGUAGUGCUCGAACAUGGGAGAGGAAAGCGGAAUUCCUGGUGUAGCGGUGAAAUGCGUAGAUAUCAGGAGGAACACCUGCGGUGUAGACGGCUUUCUGGACCAUUGUUGACGCUGAGACACGAAAGCGUGGGUAGCAAACAGG
Molecule: ribosomal RNA, 253 nt
Filed under: uncultured bacterium
Lineage: Bacteria
Description: partial 16S ribosomal RNA
Rfam family: Bacterial small subunit ribosomal RNA
Source: RNAcentral